GAUGAACGCUGGCGGCGUGCCUAAUACAUGCAAGUCGAGCGAACGGACGAGAAGCUUGCUUCUCUGAUGUUAUCGGCGGACGGGUGAGUAACACGUGGAUAACCUACCUAUAAGACUGGGAUAACUUCGGGAAACCGGAGCUAAUACCGGAUAAUAUUUUGAACCGCAUGGUUCAAAAGUGAAAGACGGUCUUGCUGUCACUUAUAGAUGGAUCAGCGCUGCAUUAGCUAGUUGGUAAGGUAACGGCUUACCAAGGCAACGAUGCAUAGCCGACCUGAGAGGGUGAUCGGCCACACUGGAACAGAGACACGGUCCAGACUCCGACGGGAGGCAGCAGUAGGGAAUCUUCCGCAAUGGGCGAAAGCCUGACGGAGCAACGCCGCGUGAGUGAUGAAGGUCUUCGGAUCGGAAAACUCUGUUAUUAGGGAAGAACAUAUGUGUAAGUAACUGUGCACAUCUUGACGGUACCUAAUCAGAAAGCCACGGCUAACUACGUG
Molecule: ribosomal RNA, 497 nt
Filed under: uncultured bacterium
Lineage: Bacteria
Description: partial 16S ribosomal RNA
Rfam family: Bacterial small subunit ribosomal RNA
Source: RNAcentral